UAGGGAACCUUCCACAAUGGACGAAAGUCUGAUGGAGCAACGCCGCGUGAGUGAAGAAGGGUUUCGGCUCGUAAAACUCUGUUGUUAAAGAAGAACAUAUCUGAGAGUAACUGUGCAGGUAUUGACGGUAUUUAACCAGAAAGCCACGGCUAACUACGUGCCAG
Molecule: ribosomal RNA, 164 nt
Filed under: uncultured bacterium
Lineage: Bacteria
Description: partial 16S ribosomal RNA
Rfam family: Bacterial small subunit ribosomal RNA
Source: RNAcentral